GAUGAACGCUGGCGGCGUGCCUAACACAUGCAAGUCGAGCGGCAGCGAGGGGUGCUUGCACCCUGUCGGCGAGCGGCGGACGGCUGAGUAACGCGUGGGAACGUGCCCCAAAGUGAGGAAUAACUGCCCGAAAGGGUAGCUAAUACCGCAUAUUAUCUUCGGAUCAAAGGAUUUAUCCGCUUUGGGAGCGGCUCGCGUCGGAUUAGGUAGUUGGUGAGGUAAUGGCUCACCAAGCCGACGAUCCGUAGCUGGUCUGAGAGGAUGACUAGCCAGACUGGAACUGAGACACGGUCCAGAAUCCUACGGGAGGGAGGAGAGAGGAAUCUAGCACAGUGGGCGAAAGGCUGAUGGAGCAACGCCGCGUGAAGGAUGAAGGCAUUCGGGUUGUAAUGUGCUUUUAUAAGUGAGGAAUAUGACGGUAACUAAUGAAUAAGGAACGGCUAACUACGUG
Molecule: ribosomal RNA, 451 nt
Filed under: uncultured bacterium
Lineage: Bacteria
Description: partial 16S ribosomal RNA
Rfam family: Bacterial small subunit ribosomal RNA
Source: RNAcentral